Molecule: long non-coding RNA, 5639 nt
Organism: Strigops habroptila (Kakapo)
Lineage: Eukaryota; Metazoa; Chordata; Aves; Psittaciformes; Psittacidae
Source: Ensembl
GGGGGCUCCGGGCCUCCCGGUGCCCCGCUCCGGCCCCGCAAAUGGUGCCCAUGCCCGGCCCCCUCCUCCUUCUCCUCCUCCUCCUCGACUGCCCCGGCAGCGCGGCCGCCGGCCCUGCCAUCACAGCCGCACGCUUGCUCCCUGCUACUCAGCUGACCUCAGGCCUGCAUCGGGGAGACUCGUCUCGGCUAUGGGCUGCACUGUGCGUCUGACAGUUCCACCGCUGCAGGUCGGCAGAGCUGUCAUCUGGGAAUACAAAACUGCCCAGCAGGAAGGAGCCAUCCUCAGUUAUGCUUUCGAUGGACGCAGCAACACCUCUCACCCCUGUGAGAACCGUGUGAGGUUCAACAGAACGGACUUCUCACUGCAGAUGGUGCUGCAGUGGGGGGACGACCGGCUGUACCGCUUCAGGUCCGAGCUGGAGGCCACGGGCUGGUUCCAGCUGCAUGUUGUGGAACCGCUUUCCAAGCCAGAAAUUGUGGGCAACUCAUCAGUGAAGGCAGGAGACAACACCAAACUGGUUUGCAACAUCCUGAAAGGGAAGGCAGACUCGUACUGGUGGAAGAAAAACGGGGUGCUGCUGCUGAGGAGCGACCACAUUCAGCUUGAGAAUACCACCCUGUGCAUCCUGAGAGCCUUGAUGAAUGACAGCGGCUACUACGCUUGCGUGGUCCACAACAAAGUCAGCCAGAAUGAAACCUCCUUCCUGCUCCGUGUCCAGAACGCAGCAAACGUGGUGCUGCCCAUGAUGCUGGCGUGCAUUGCCCUGGGCUUGCUGGCAGGUCUCUUCGUGUGGUGCAGGUCAAGGGACCGCUAGUGUCACGGCGGCUCUAGGUCCCUGCUUCUGUAUGUCCCAGGACGUGGAAGAUGCCUGUGGGUAAAGAGGCGAAUGCCCGUUCCCAGCCCGCUGAGGGCAGGCCAAGCACGCAGAGGAUGCGCCAGGUGGCCAACAGGCAGCCCGAGGAAGCGCCUCAGGGCAGCCCGAGCCAGGCCUCGUCCCACCAUGGGAUCACGCUGCCACGGGUGCCCUACCCGGAGAGGUUUCAGCCUGUCGUCAACCAGCAGGCACAGGUGGGCAGCCUGGGGCACCGAGUGGUGCUGCCCUGCACCAGUGGGUCAACACAGGAGCAAACACCCCGUCUGCCAUCAUUGGUGGCAAUCGCACCCCGGCCACCACCUCAUUCAGCAAGAGCAGCUGUCAGCUACUGCGGGCUGCAACAUGUUCCACCAGCAGCCUCUCCACCUUCUGGCAGUGUCAGCGACUGGGCCAUCGGCAGCUCAAGCAGCAGUCAGUGUGCCCGAGAGGUCCACAGCCUCUGCCCCGACAAGUAAGACCUCAGACAUCAUGAGUGCAGUCGUGCGCAGGUACAGCACUGGGAGCCAGGGACCCUGGCAGCAGCCAGCAGCAUGGCAGAACCCAGCACAAAGCAGGGCUGCAGGGACACAAACAAGAAGAGACACUGUCCGGGUGGCCAACACCAGCAAGGCCCCAGCCACUCAGCCCUCACUGCGGAAUGCUGGGCGAGCAGCAGAGCAUGUGCCAGCAAUGCCGGCGGCUGGCAGCAAGGGCAGCCUCAACAGCAAGUCCCUGGGGCUGCACCAGAAGGUGUUUCCCCAGCGCCUGCCCCCACUGCCCAGCAAGAUCAAGCCUUCAGAGCAGCCAAAGAAGAGCUGCCUGGCAAGAGCUCAUGAGAAGCACCAGGCACCUCUCCCUCCAGUGGCACUGGCACGAGCGUCCCCUGACUUUGGCAAGCAGGCACCAGCACAGGCACGGAGACAGGCACCUGCCCCGCAGAGCACCAAAGUCAUGGAUGCAGCUCUGCAGGUGACAGCCGUGCGCAGAGGGAGGAAUCGUCUGGUCCAGUCUGUGGCUGUGGUCCAGGGAACCAACCAGCAGCGAGUAGAACACCAGGACAUGGCCCAACGUGAGGAUGUGGCAAUGGCAGCACUGUCCCAUGCAGAAGCAAAGGACAUAGAGUCUCCUGUGGCUGCAGGACCUCAGGGACAGGCCAGCAAAGCCCCUCUUGUCCCAGCAGCAGGCGAGGCUGGAAAAGAUGUGGUGUCUCCCAUGUUGGGAGACCAUCAAGAACAGGACAGCAGAGCCAUUGUCUCCUCAGAAGCACACAAGGUGGAAGUGGCAGCUUCAUUGCCUGACAUCGCUGUGGCAGAUGCUGGAACAUCCCAUCUGCAGAUGGACCUGCAGAGUGUGUCUCCUGCCCCAGACGGUCCAGCAGACAACGAGCCUGCAGCUGCUAGCCCGGCUGGAGCUGCUGAGGAAGAGCAGCACCGCGCAGCUCUCGCUGCCGUAGCAGAAGAGGAGGAGGAAGCAGCACCACCAGCUUCCCAUGGCUUUGAUGAGCUGGAGGCAGAAGCAGAGGUGCAAAGAAAGGCAUUUGCCCUGCUCAGCCCCACAGCCUCUGAGCUGGUUCGGCAUGAAAUAGCCAGGCGCUUUGUGAGUGGCAUCAUGUGCAAGGCUUUGGCUGUAAUCCAGGAAAUGGAUGAGCAGCCUCAGGAACACCAGGAGAUUGACAAAAGCCAAGUGGACGUGUCAAAGGGAGCAAUGAAGCCUGCAGCACUUGAGGACAUUGAGUCUCCUGUGGCUGUAGAGCCUCAGGCAGAGCCCAGCACAGCCCCUCUCAUCCCAGAGGCAGGCGAGCUUGGAGAAGACAUGGUGUCUCCCAUGUCUGGAGAACACCAAGAAGGGACCAAAACAGUAGAUGUCAGCCCAGCUGCAGAGGAAGAGGAGCACCGUGCAGCUCUUGCUGCUGUGGCACAACAAGACGAGAAGGCACUGGCACCAGCUUCCCACGUGUUUGACGAGCAGGAGGCAGAAGCAGAGGCCCGGAGGAAGGCAUUUGCUCUGCUCAGCCCCACAGCCUCUGAGCUGGUUCGGCAUGAAAUAGCCAGGCGCUUUGUGAGUGGCAUCGUGUGCAAGGCUUUGGCUGUCAUCCAGGAAAUGGAUGAGCAGCGUCUUGAACAGGAGGACAUGGCCCAAAGCCAUGUGGAUGUGUCCAUGGCACCAAUGACGCCUGCAACAGUUCAGGACCCAGAGUCUUCUGUGGCUGUAGAGCCUCAGGCAGAGCCCAGCUCAGCUCCUCUCAUCCUAGUGGCAGAACAUGAGGAAAAGGUGUCAACUUCAUUGCCUGAGAUCCCUGUGGCAGACGCUGGAACACCCCAUCUUGCUCCUGGAGCAGACGAUGAAGGAGAAGCAGCAGCUUCUCUCCCAGCUAAGGACUCUCAGCACCAGGAGGAGCCACUGGCCUUGCCCGCGAAGGAGGAGAAACAGUGUGUUGAGGACAUUGACAACAUGCUGUCCCAUGUAAAGGUCGUAAACGUACACAACAUCUGGGUCAACCACUUGGUGCCAGAGCUCUUCCAGGAGCACCGAGUGGAUAUCCAGAAGGGAUCCAGCAUCCGCAGCAGCAUGCGGGAGGAGAGGCAGCCAGAGACCUGCAGAGCGUGUCUCCUGCCCCAGCCGGUCCCAUGGACACCAAACCGGCAGCUCCGACCCUGGCUGGAGCUGCUAAAGAAGAGGAGCACCACGCACCGCUCACUGCUGUGGAACAAAAGGACAAGAGCCAAAACUUAGAUGUGGCCAUGGCAGCACCAUCGCCUGCACCAGUUGAGGACUCUGGAAAGGCUGAGCCUCAGGGAGAGCCCAGCACAGCCCCUCUCAGCCCAGCAGGAGAUGAGGAUGGAGAAGGCAUGGAGUCUCCCAUGCCUGGAGACCAACAAGAAGAGGUGAGCAGAACCGUUGUCUCCCUGGCAGCAGACGUGGGAGAUAUGGCAGCUUCUUUGACUGAGAUCCCUGGGGCAGACGCUGCAACACCCCACCUUGCCCCUGGAGCAGAUGAUGAAGGAGAAGCAGCAGCUUCUCUCCUGGCUCAGGACUCUCAGCACCAGGAGCCAGUGGACUUGCUUGAGGCGGAAGAGAAACAGUGUGUUGAGGACAUCAACAACAUGCUGGCCCAAAUGAAAGUCAUAAACAUAUGCAACAUCUGGGUCAACCACUUGGUGUCACAGUUCUACCAGAAGCCCCAGGCUCAUAUCCAGGAGGGAUCCAGCAGCCCCAGUGGCAUGGGCGUGGAUGCGGCAGGAGAGGCAGCCGGAGACCUGCAGAGCGUGUCUCCUGCCCCGGCCGCUGCAGUGAACACCGAGCCUGCAGCUCCUACCCUGGCUGGAGCUGCUGAGGAAGAGCAGCACCGCACACAUCUUGCUGCUGUGGAACAAGACGAGAAGGCACUGGCGCCAGUUUCCCAUGGCUUUGACGAGUGGGAAGCAGAAGCACAAAGAAAGGCAUUUGCCUUGCUCAGCCCAACAGCCUCUGAGCUGGUGCGGCAUGAAAUAGCCAGGCGCUUUGUGAAGGGCAUCGUGCAUAAUGCUUUGGCGGUCAUCCAGGAAAUAGAUGAGCAGCCUCAGGAACACCAGGAGAUUGACAAAAGCCAAGUGGACAUGUCAAAAGGAGCAAUGAAGCCUGCAGCACUUGAGGACAUCGAGUCUCCUGUGGCUGUAAGCCUCAGGCAGAGCCCAGCACAGCCCCUCUCAUCCCAGAGGCAGGCGAGCUUGGAGAAGACAUGGUGUCUCCCAUGUCUGGAGAACACCAAGAAGAGGCCAAAACAGUAGAUAUCAGCCCAGCUGCAGAGGAAGAGCAGCACCGUGCAGCUCUUGCUGCUGUGGCACAAGAAGACGAGAAGGCACCGGCUCCAUCUUCCCACGUGUUUGACAAGGAGGAGGCAGAAGCAGAGGCCCGGAGGAAGGCAUUUGCUCUGCUCAGCCCCACAGCCUCUGAGCUGGUUCGGCAUGAAAUAGCCAGGUGCUUUGUGAGUGGCAUCAUGUGCAAGGCUUUGGCUGUCAUCCAGGAAAUGGAUGAGCAGCUUCUGGAACAGGAGGAUGUGGCCCAAAGCAUGGAUGUGUCAAUGGCACCAAUGAGGUCUUUAGCAGUUCGUGACAUGGAGUCUCCUGUGUCUGCUGAGCCGCAGGAAGAGUCCAGCAUGGACAAGCAGCAGACAGCAGCACAGGCAUCUGCCCCAAGGUGAUAUACGGUUAUUGACAGAGCUCUGCAGGUCUCAUUCAGGCACAAAGUGAGGAGAGCACCUAAAAAGCAACAGGGAGAGGCCAGCACAGCCACUGCCUCCCCGCCAUUACAGAAGGAUGAACUGGCAGUGUCUCCUGCAGCUGUUCACGACACCGAGGACGAGCCAGGUAUGUCCCUGAGUCGAGUGGAACACAGGCCAGGCUGGCUGCAGCGUGUGCACGAGUUCGGCCGUGCCCCGGCCUCCCCUCCCUGGGCGAGGGCUGACAGCCUUCGGUGGAAAGCCCCUGCGGAAAGCCCUCGGUGGCACGUGGCAGCAGGAGCUUGCUCGGUGCCCGCCCAGCCCCGCGCCUACAUCUCUCCUUCCCCUGCAGGCAUCGCUGCCCUCCCAGGCGCAGGAGCAGUCCAAUGGCGACGACCACCCCACUUCAGAAGGGUGCUGAAGGCUCUGCGCAGGGCUUUCCGCUGCUCCUGCAUGAACCCGCAAGUGGAGGACUAGCGCCCCGCUGCCAGCUCCAGGCCCGAGGGAGCUGCGCUGAGGACAUCGUGCUGCAGCCUGCGCUCGCUGUGGACACUUUCUCGGGCCAAUAAACCAUAUCCCUUUCCC